Molecule: ribosomal RNA, 88 nt
Filed under: uncultured archaeon
Lineage: Archaea
Description: partial 16S ribosomal RNA
Source: RNAcentral
CUCCCUCGUUGCUGAUCUCAGAUUCGAUAAUGCCAAAUCGCACCACCUCGCCUAAAACCAACUUCGAUGAAGCGACGGGCGGUGUGUG